AUUCAAGAAUCACACCUCUCAACACAAAACCAAUAAACUUAGCUAGGUAACCAAGGAAGGUAGCAGCAAGCUAAGAGGAGGCAAUGGAGGGAAAGAGGACUACCACUUUGAUGGUGAUCAUGUGCCUGGUCAUCUUGAGCCUCAAUGUUAACCCCACCGCGGCGGAGUGCGGCUGCUGCGCAUCCGCCCAGGCAAAACUAUGUUGUCAGCUUUGUAUUCGUGCGGGUGCCUCCGACGCAGUCUGCAAGAACACUUGCUGUUUCCCAUGUUUUCUGGACGAUUCUGUUGCUGCUAAGAUGGUAGAAAUGGAAGUGCUUGCUAAGAUGGAAGGAGCUGGACAAGCCUAAAAUGAUAGCAUGAAUGCCACUCAUAGGCAUAUGUUGCUAUGCUUCAAGCUAUGGCCAAGUUACGUUAAUAUUUAUCUCCAAUAAAUUGUUCACCAUAUGGGACGACCAUCUGUUGGUCUCUACUAUAUGUAUGUCGUGCAUCUGCGCGCGCGCGUGUGUGGUGACGAGCAUCUCUCGUUGCUUGUAAUAAGGACACAAACACUGUCCACCGUGAUAUGUGUCAUGAACAGUCUACUAUGUUUAUGUAUUAUCUCUGGCCUUAGCAAUUUUAUGGAAACAUGAUUAUUAUUAUUA
This is a long non-coding RNA of Setaria italica (foxtail millet), 641 nucleotides long. RefSeq lists it as uncharacterized. The record is from RefSeq and is a predicted model, not a curated record. The transcript has 2 exons. Lineage: Eukaryota; Viridiplantae; Streptophyta; Magnoliopsida; Poales; Poaceae.